This 254-nucleotide ribosomal RNA is filed under the name uncultured bacterium. RNAcentral's name for it is "partial 16S ribosomal RNA". It matches the Rfam family "Bacterial small subunit ribosomal RNA", at positions 524 to 776 of the family's 1533-position model. The record is from RNAcentral.
UACGGGGGGAGCAAGCGUUGUUCGGAUUUACUGGGCGUAAAGGGCGCGUAGGCGGUCGUGACAAGUCACUUGUGAAAUCUCCGGGCUUAACUCGGAACGGUCAAGUGAUACUGUCGGGCUAGAGUACAGAAGGGGCAACUGGAAUUCUCGGUGUAGCGGUGAAAUGCGUAGAUAUCGAGAGGAACACCUGCGGCGAAGGCGGGUUGCUGGGCUGAUACUGACGCUGAGGCGCGAAAGCCAGGGGAGCGAACGGG